UGGGGGAUAUUGCACAAUGGGCGAAAGCCUGAUGCAGCGACGCCGCGUGGGGGAUGAAGGCCUUCGGGUUGUAAACUUCUUUUGCUCUGAACAAGGCAUGCUAAUGGGUGUGUUGAGUGUAGGGGUUGAUUAGCGCCGGCUAACUACGUGCCAGCAGCCGCGGUAAUACGUAGGGCGCGAGCGUUGUCCGGAAUUAUUGGGCGUAAAGGGCUUGUAGGUGGCUGGUUGCGUCUGUCGUGAAAGCUCAUGGCUUAACUGUGGGUUUGCGGUGGGUACGGGCUGGCUUGAGUGCAGUAGGGGAGGCUGGAAUUCCUGGUGUAGCGGUGGAAUGCGCAGAUAUCAGGAGGAAUACCGGUGGCGAAGGCGGGUUUCUGGGCUGUUACUGACACUGAGGAGCGAAAGCAUGGGGAGCGAACAGG
Molecule: ribosomal RNA, 419 nt
Filed under: bacterium
Lineage: Bacteria
Description: partial 16S ribosomal RNA
Rfam family: Bacterial small subunit ribosomal RNA
Source: RNAcentral